RNAcentral lists this ribosomal RNA (2905 nucleotides) under Enterobacter hormaechei. Its description in RNAcentral is "23S ribosomal RNA". It matches the Rfam family "Bacterial large subunit ribosomal RNA". RNAcentral also lists the same sequence under 1 other name. Lineage: Bacteria; Pseudomonadati; Pseudomonadota; Gammaproteobacteria; Enterobacterales; Enterobacteriaceae. The record is from RNAcentral.
GGUUAAGCGACUAAGCGUACACGGUGGAUGCCCUGGCAGUCAGAGGCGAUGAAGGACGUGCUAAUCUGCGAAAAGCGCCGGCGAGGUGAUAUGAACCCUUGACCCGGCGAUGUCCGAAUGGGGAAACCCAGUGCAAUCCGUUGCACUAUCGUUAACUGAAUACAUAGGUUAACGAGGCGAACCGGGGGAACUGAAACAUCUAAGUACCCCGAGGAAAAGAAAUCAACCGAGAUUCCCCCAGUAGCGGCGAGCGAACGGGGAGCAGCCCGGAGUCUGAAUCAGUUUGUGUGUUAGUGGAACGGUCUGGAAAGUCCGACGGUACAGGGUGAUAGUCCCGUACACGAAAGCACACUUGCUGUGAACUCGAAGAGUAGGGCGGGACACGUGGUAUCCUGUCUGAAUAUGGGGGGACCAUCCUCCAAGGCUAAAUACUCCUGACUGACCGAUAGUGAACCAGUACCGUGAGGGAAAGGCGAAAAGAACCCCGGCGAGGGGAGUGAAAAAGAACCUGAAACCGUGUACGUACAAGCAGUGGGAGCCUCUUUAUGGGGUGACUGCGUACCUUUUGUAUAAUGGGUCAGCGACUUAUAUUCUGUAGCAAGGUUAACCGUAUAGGGGAGCCGAAGGGAAACCGAGUCUUAACUGGGCGUUAAGUUGCAGGGUAUAGACCCGAAACCCGGUGAUCUAGCCAUGGGCAGGUUGAAGGUUGGGUAACACUAACUGGAGGACCGAACCGACUAAUGUUGAAAAAUUAGCGGAUGACCUGUGGCUGGGGGUGAAAGGCCAAUCAAACCGGGAGAUAGCUGGUUCUCCCCGAAAGCUAUUUAGGUAGCGCCUCGUGAACUCAUCUUCGGGGGUAGAGCACUGUUUCGGCUAGGGGGCCAUCCCGGCUUACCAACCCGAUGCAAACUACGAAUACCGAAGAAUGUUAUCACGGGAGACACACGGCGGGUGCUAACGUCCGUCGUGAAGAGGGAAACAACCCAGACCGCCAGCUAAGGUCCCAAAGUCAUGGUUAAGUGGGAAACGAUGUGGGAAGGCACAGACAGCCAGGAUGUUGGCUUAGAAGCAGCCAUCAUUUAAAGAAAGCGUAAUAGCUCACUGGUCGAGUCGGCCUGCGCGGAAGAUGUAACGGGGCUAAACCAUGCACCGAAGCUGCGGCAGCGACACUAUGUGUUGUUGGGUAGGGGAGCGUUCUGUAAGCCGUUGAAGGUGUGCUGUGAGGCAUGCUGGAGGUAUCAGAAGUGCGAAUGCUGACAUAAGUAACGAUAAAGCGGGUGAAAAGCCCGCUCGCCGGAAGACCAAGGGUUCCUGUCCAACGUUAAUCGGGGCAGGGUGAGUCGACCCCUAAGGCGAGGCCGAAAGGCGUAGUCGAUGGGAAACAGGUUAAUAUUCCUGUACUUGGUGUUACUGCGAAGGGGGGACGGAGAAGGCUAUGUCAGCCGGGCGACGGUUGUCCCGGUUUAAGCAUGUAGGCGGAGGUUCCAGGUAAAUCCGGUACCUUAUUAACGCUGAGGUGUGAUGACGAGGCACUACGGUGCUGAAGUGAUAAAUGCCCUGCUUCCAGGAAAAGCCUCUAAGCAUCAGGUAACACGAAAUCGUACCCCAAACCGACACAGGUGGUCAGGUAGAGAAUACCAAGGCGCUUGAGAGAACUCGGGUGAAGGAACUAGGCAAAAUGGUGCCGUAACUUCGGGAGAAGGCACGCUGAUGUGUAGGUGAAGCCCCUGCGGGCGGAGCUGAAAUCAGUCGAAGAUACCAGCUGGCUGCAACUGUUUAUUAAAAACACAGCACUGUGCAAACACGAAAGUGGACGUAUACGGUGUGACGCCUGCCCGGUGCCGGAAGGUUAAUUGAUGGGGUUAGCUGUAAGGCGAAGCUCUUGAUCGAAGCCCCGGUAAACGGCGGCCGUAACUAUAACGGUCCUAAGGUAGCGAAAUUCCUUGUCGGGUAAGUUCCGACCUGCACGAAUGGCGUAAUGAUGGCCAGGCUGUCUCCACCCGAGACUCAGUGAAAUUGAACUCGCUGUGAAGAUGCAGUGUACCCGCGGCAAGACGGAAAGACCCCGUGAACCUUUACUAUAGCUUGACACUGAACACUGGUCCUUGAUGUGUAGGAUAGGUGGGAGGCUUUGAAGCGUGGACGCCAGUCUGCGUGGAGCCGCCCUUGAAAUACCACCCUUUAAUGGCUGGUGUUCUAACGUAGACCCGUAAUCCGGGUUGCGGACAGUGUCUGGUGGGUAGUUUGACUGGGGCGGUCUCCUCCCAAAGAGUAACGGAGGAGCACGAAGGUUGGCUAAUCCUGGUCGGACAUCAGGAGGUUAGUGCAAUGGCAUAAGCCAGCUUGACUGCGAGCGUGACGGCGCGAGCAGGUGCGAAAGCAGGUCAUAGUGAUCCGGUGGUUCUGAAUGGAAGGGCCAUCGCUCAACGGAUAAAAGGUACUCCGGGGAUAACAGGCUGAUACCGCCCAAGAGUUCAUAUCGACGGCGGUGUUUGGCACCUCGAUGUCGGCUCAUCACAUCCUGGGGCUGAAGUAGGUCCCAAGGGUAUGGCUGUUCGCCAUUUAAAGUGGUACGCGAGCUGGGUUUAGAACGUCGUGAGACAGUUCGGUCCCUAUCUGCCGUGGGCGCUGGAGAAUUGAGGGGGGCUGCUCCUAGUACGAGAGGACCGGAGUGGACGCAUCACUGGUGUUCGGGUUGUCAUGCCAAUGGCACUGCCCGGUAGCUAAAUGCGGAAGAGAUAAGUGCUGAAAGCAUCUAAGCACGAAACUUGCCCCGAGAUGAGUUCUCCCUGAGACUUUAAGUCUCCUGAAGGAACGUUGAAGACGACGACGUUGAUAGGUCGGGUGUGUAAGCGCAGCGAUGCGUUGAGCUAACCGAUACUAAUGAACCGUGAGGCUUAACCUU